Molecule: transfer-messenger RNA, 354 nt
Filed under: Lysobacteraceae
Lineage: Bacteria; Pseudomonadati; Pseudomonadota; Gammaproteobacteria; Lysobacterales
Description: Pseudoxanthomonas_A winnipegensis Standard tmRNA
Rfam family: transfer-messenger RNA
About the family: Bacterial tmRNA, also known as 10Sa RNA or SsrA, is named for its dual tRNA and mRNA-like properties.
Source: RNAcentral
GGGGGUGCACUGGCUUCGACGGGGGUUGCGAAAUUGUCUGGUGCAUGCCGAGGGGGCAGCUUUCCUCGUAAAUCCAGCGGCAAAAUCAUAGUUGCCAACGACGACAACUACGCUCUCGCCGCUUAAGGCGUAAGCCCCGAACCCACUUGUGCCCGUGCUCGUGGAUGUAGGGUCAUUAUCACGGAACCGGCGUUGACGGCUGCCUGUCAGUCAUCGCUUAACCAAAACAGGCUGGCCCUGGGGUGCGCUUCGCACGCCGUGCUGCUCCGGGACGAGAUCCAACGGUGAGCUAAGCAUGUAGUACCGGGCAUGGAGUGCCUUCGGACGGGGGUUCAAUUCCCCCCACCUCCACCA